This 274-nucleotide ribosomal RNA is filed under the name uncultured bacterium. RNAcentral describes it as "partial 16S ribosomal RNA". It matches the Rfam family "Bacterial small subunit ribosomal RNA", at positions 523 to 796 of the family's 1533-position model. The record is from RNAcentral.
GUACGGAGGCUGCAAGCGUUAUUCGGAAUCACUGGGCGUAAAGGACGCGUAGGCGGGUUGGCAAGUCAGAUGUGAAAUCCUACAGCUUAACUGUAGAACUGCAUUUGAAACUGCUAACCUAGAGUAUGGGAGGGGGAGAUGGAAUUAGUGGUGUAGGGGUAAAAUCCGUAGAUAUCACUAGGAAUACCGAAAGCGAAGGCGAUCUCCUGGAACAUAACUGACGCUAAGGCGUGAAAGCGUGGGGAGCAAACAGGAUUAGAUACCCUAGUAGUCC